RNAcentral lists this transfer RNA (73 nucleotides) under Perca fluviatilis (European perch). It matches the Rfam family "tRNA". From Rfam's summary of the family: Transfer RNA (tRNA) molecules are approximately 80 nucleotides in length. The record is from Rfam by way of RNAcentral. Lineage: Eukaryota; Metazoa; Chordata; Actinopteri; Perciformes; Percidae.
GAUUCCAUACUGUAGAGGUUAUCACGUUUGCUUUGCACACAGAAGGUCUUGGGUUUGAAACCCAGUGGAAUCA